Suricata suricatta (meerkat) is the source of this 897-nucleotide long non-coding RNA. RefSeq lists it as uncharacterized. The record is from RefSeq and is a predicted model, not a curated record. NCBI's taxonomy places the organism in Eukaryota, Metazoa, Chordata, Mammalia, Carnivora, Herpestidae. The transcript has 5 exons.
AGAGAAGACCAGUCGGGUUGCGGUGGCAAGUGCCACCCUCCCUCCGCCAUGCACCCAUAUAGGACCAGGCCAUCCCAGAACCUCUAAAUAUGUUACUGCACAUCUUUAAAAAGAUUUUUCAGGUAUAACUAAGGAUCUUGAGAUUAUCCUGGACUAUCUGAUGCGCCCAGUAUCAUCAGGAGAUGCCUUAUGAAAGGGAGGCAAAUUGAGCCAACAAUGACAGAAGUCACGUUGGUAGUGCCAGUGAAGGCUCACUCCAUGAAGAACUCUAAGGACAAAGAUGGAGGGGCCGUUCCGAGAGGAAAGGUGGGAAAAUUGACGUGCCACUAUCACACUCAUACUGUGAGGAGCUCCCUUUGUAUAUAACAAGGGAGCCAAGCAGUCUCAAGUAUCACUGUUCUGCAGCACAAUGAGAUUAGAGAUGGGUCAGACGCAUGCUUUUCUUUACAGAAUAAAGGAGAGUGAUCGUGAAGGGCAGUGAAGAAGGAUAACUGGCUUACCACAGCCAUUCUCUCUGGGAGAUUCAUUUUAGGAAGAAGUCAAUGUAGAGACGGAGGAUCUGGAAAUUGAUUCCCUUAAAGGUUGCCUUGACCUUGUAGUUUUUGCAAAGCCUUAUGUACUUUCAGUUCACAGCAGAGUUAAGGUCCAACUCCAUCCCAGAAUGACACAUUUCCCACUCGGCGGUCUUCCUGCUGUUUCAUGCUGAACAUCGUUCCUGGAAGGAUGUCUCCCGUGGGAGCACCUCUCAGUCCAUAAACAUUAUAACGAGUACUCCAGCCUGUCCUGAUCUACCUUCUCAUGGCACGUGAAGUGAAAAUAUCUGUAAAAUUAGAGAGAAGGAAUUGAGCUGAGAAAGGUUUAAUAAAUGGAAAAAUUAAAACAUAAUAAUUGACAUAA